This 391-nucleotide unclassified non-coding RNA is filed under the name soil metagenome. RNAcentral's name for it is "partial contains 5.8S ribosomal RNA, internal transcribed spacer 2, and large subunit ribosomal RNA". The stretch from base 1 to 122 matches the Rfam family "5.8S ribosomal RNA", at positions 35 to 154 of the family's 154-position model. The record is from RNAcentral.
GAUGAAGAACGUAGCGAAAUGCGAUACUUGGUGUGAAUUGCAGAAUCCCGUGAACCAUCGAGUCUUUGAACGCAAGUUGCGCCCGAAGCCAUUAGGCCGAGGGCACGCCUGCCUGGGCGUCACACGUCGUUGCCCCCCCAUCUACUCCUUCGGGAUUGCGGGGGGCGGAUGAUGGCCUCCCGUGCGCCUCGUCGCGCGGUUGGCAUAAAUGCCUAGUCCUCGGCGACGCACGCCACGACAAUCGGUGGUUGCGAAACCUCGGUUGCCCGUCGUGUGCGGUCGUCGCGCAUCGAGGGCUCGAAAAAAUUGCCGGGCUCCGGCUCGGCUUUCAACGCGACCCCAGGUCAGGCGGGGUUACCCGCUGAAUUUAAGCAUAUCAAUAAGCGGAGGA